RNAcentral lists this ribosomal RNA (253 nucleotides) under uncultured bacterium. Its description in RNAcentral is "partial 16S ribosomal RNA". It matches the Rfam family "Bacterial small subunit ribosomal RNA", at positions 524 to 776 of the family's 1533-position model. The record is from RNAcentral.
UACGGGGGGGGCAAGCGUUGUUCGGAAUUACUGGGCGUAAAGGGCUCGUAGGCGGCCAACUAAGUCGGAUGUGAAAUCCCCAGGCUUAACCUGGGAACUGCAUCCGAUACUGGAUGGCUUGAAUCCGGGAGAGGGAUGCAGAAUUCCAGGUGUAGCGGUGAAAUGCGUAGAUAUCUGGAGGAAUACCCGUGGCGAAGGCGGCUCUCUGGGACGGUACUGACGCUGAGACGCGAAAGCGUGGGGAGCGAACAGG